RNAcentral lists this transfer RNA (76 nucleotides) under Planctomycetes bacterium RBG_16_43_13. RNAcentral describes it as "tRNA-Pro". It matches the Rfam family "tRNA". From Rfam's summary of the family: Transfer RNA (tRNA) molecules are approximately 80 nucleotides in length. Their secondary structure includes four short double-helical elements and three loops (D, anti-codon, and T loops). The record is from RNAcentral. Lineage: Bacteria; Pseudomonadati; Planctomycetota.
CGGGGUGUAGCGCAGUCUGGCUUAGCGCGCCACGCUUGGGACGUGGAGGUCGUGGGUUCAAAUCCCGCCACCCCGA